Molecule: long non-coding RNA, 514 nt
Filed under: Serinus canaria (Common canary)
Lineage: Eukaryota; Metazoa; Chordata; Aves; Passeriformes; Fringillidae
Description: lncRNA (ENSSCAG00000006728.1)
Source: RNAcentral
GCGACUGGGAACACAACAUGGCGGCCGUGACGGGGAGCGCCAGGAGCGGGGCUCGGUGGGGCCCGGCCGCUCAUCCGCCAACCCCGGCACCUACGGGACGGCGCGGCAGGCACAGUAAGAGGUCUUCACCUUUGACUACAACAAAUUCAGAGAUGAAUACCCUGGCUCCCUUUCACUGGUAUGUGAAUUUAUGGCCAUGACUAUUUAUGAGCUGAUAAAAGGUAUGUAGCAUAUGCUUAAGAAACAUAAACUCUCCUUGUGUAGAUCACAAAGUGGAAUUAAUUAUUUUUCACUUGGUUGUUCACUGUGACAGAUUAUAGAACUCACAGGGAAUCUUGUGCUGUACUGCUUUACCCUGUAUUUCUUGCCAGUGGAAUAGACCCAAUUGUUUAAAGCAUGGGUAGAUGCAGUCCAUAGCCAUCUAUUCUACAGUCAAAUAACCUUGACUGCAAAACACAAAAUAAUUGCUUUAUGUUACAAAAAAUAAAAUUUAAACAGAUUCUUUGUUAGGUCA